UUCAAUAUUAAUGUUAUUCUGCAUACGUCCCUCUUUAAUUCCCUUAUUUCUGAUUUGUAGUUUGAUGAAUAGUCUAUGUUGUAAGUAGAGGGGACUGUAUCUAAAUUGUUAAUAUGGUUUUCCAUGCAACAUAGUUGAAACUUCUAUUUAGUACGUAUCAAGUCGUUUACCGAGACGCAUGAUGGAAAAAUUUGUCGUUGUCAUAAAAUUUCUUUCUGAUAUUAUUUUCAGAGAUAGAUUAGAGAAUAUAUUAGCAAUGAUUUAAAUUAACUCAGUCUACUUCGAUUUUGCCAAAUAAUAAAGUAGAAAAUAGUGUGACACAAUAAUAUUUAAAUAAUUUAACGCAAAUAUUUAUAAUACUGACGUAUGUUAAUAUUUGUAGUAUACUCAAAAUCGUCAGAAAGUUCAGAAGAUAUGGAAUUAAAAGUAUUUAAAGAAGAUGAAAAUUGCAAAUGAUACUUUUCUACCAGAUGACAAGAAUUUUCAAAUUGGAUAGUAUGGGCAAUAUCUACAUGCAGUUAUACAAAAACAGGUUUUGAUUAGUUUAAACUGUCCAGCCACGUGUAAAAUUAUGGUCAUAAAUGUACAGUCUACACCAGUGAUCGCUGAAAUUCCCACGAUGCAUGCCAACAGUUGACAAAAGAAGGCGAUUUCGAAUUUGGGAGAAGCUGAGAUGUCUGUUCCGUACCUGACAGUGAUGUUAGAAUAUCGUUGCUGUAUAUUUUCGUUAUUUACAUUCUUUUCAUGAUCAAUGGCAGGAGAAAUGAAAGUAGAUAAGGACGAUUUUUACCAGACGUCAAAAGCGAUGAAAUUUUAACUACAGCUAGGUACCGAAUUGCUUGGGAGACUCAGUAUGAUAGAGUUAGUCUUUAUCCGGACGUUUCUCCGAUAUCAUCUUAAAAAAAAAAUUAAGUUCCGUUUCGUCGACGUAUGAAAGGUACAAUAAUUAGUAAUAAUAAUUGAAUUUAAAUGAAUUUCAUUCGUUUACAAACAUUCUAUACA
Long non-coding RNA from Frieseomelitta varia, 1002 nucleotides. RefSeq lists it as uncharacterized. The transcript is spliced from 3 exons. NCBI's taxonomy places the organism in Eukaryota, Metazoa, Arthropoda, Insecta, Hymenoptera, Apidae. The record is from RefSeq and is a predicted model, not a curated record.